UUCGUUUCGAUGAGAGGAUCACUAAUAUGUAUUCAAAUCAAGGUGGAUAUGAACUAUUUGGCCGGAAAUUGACCGGAAAGGUUUGGUGAAACCCAUUUUGGGUUUUCCGAUUCCGGUUAUUACAGUCGACGAGGAGGCCAUCAAAUGAAAGAGGAAGAAGAGAGGAGUCAUUUGGUACUCACCUUGCGCUCUAGGCUUGCCUGAAACGCCGUGAAUCGCCGGAAAAAAGUGUAACCACGGUGGCCGAAACUUCAAGCUCUUCCCCUUCAAAAUAGACGCAAUUUCAGUUCAAAUCUAAGCUAUAAUCUUCUUCCUUGCGUUGAGUAGAUGUUUUUAGAGUGUUCAUUUGCCGAAUUUGGUGGCCGGAGGACGGAGAUCGAAGGAGAGGGAGGAGGAGGAGGAGGUGAUGCAACUGGAGAAGGAGAAGGAAUAAACGAAGAGAAAGAGAAAGAAAAAGAAAAGAAAAGAAAUGGGCCGGUCCGGUUCGAUUCAAACCGGUUCGGUCCAAUUCAGUGAUUUGGUCUCAUUUCGUUUAGUUUUUGAGUUUUCCAAUCGAUUUUCGGUUCGGUUUAUCACAGUAUUUGAACUAAAAUAUUAAUAUAAUUUUCAAGCUGUCGAUUCAUUAAAUUUAAUUAGAAAAUUUUUGAAAAUAAAAAUUCAGGGUAUUACAGUUAACAACUUUUCUUUCUAUAUCAAAUGGUCUGUAGAUUGAUUAUAGAGGCAAGAAAAAUGAAAAACACUACAAUGGAAUAUAUAUAUAAUUAAUACACAUUUAAUAGACAAAAAUAAAAUCAACGUCACAAACUUCUCAAAAACUGCGUACAGAUGGAAGGUCAUAGACCUCAUAUAUGUGAAACAUCACAUGUCAAUUUUUCUUAAUCAGAUGAUAAAAUUACAUUACACAUAUAUAUAGCAAAGCACUAUCAAAUGACCUACGCGUUUAGAGUUUUUGGUCCCCGCAAGUUAAAGUUGGAAAACUUUUUAGGGUUUUAUUUUCUAGAAAUAAGGUUAUUAUAUUAAUUAGUUAUCAUACUUUGUUAACAAAAAGGCUAAUUGAUAGUGUGAGCAGAAAAUUAAAAAGAAAAAACAAAAGAAAAGAAAGGACAUUUUAUAUCUUUUUCCGUGUAAACUACCGGUAUCUAAAUCUCAUUAUUAGAGACCGCCUAAUCCAGUUUAAGACUUUAUCACAGUUAAAGCUUUUCGUCCCUCCUACAUCUGCAUUUAGUGAAGAUCAAAUUAGGUUAACUAAUGGUUUGUUAAUGCCAAAUAUUUUGAGAAAACAAAUAUUUCAUCCGUCUCAUUUUAUUUACAUGGUUUGACAAAACACGUGUAUUAAGAAUUUAGUUAACAAAAAUUAUUUCGUAACUUUUUACUCUUAACUGAAUGAAGAUAUUAAUAAAAAUCCAUUACUUAAUAAAGGAUCAUAAAUGUUAUCAUGAGAAAAAUAAUUGUUUACAUUUCUAAAUUUAGAAAACUUGCAAACAUUUUGGGAUAUCCAAAAAAAGAAUAACAAGCAAACAAAACGAGACGGAUGGAGUAUUUUUUUUAUUGAAACAUUAGUUAACAUGGUAGACUCUUAACAAAAUAUUAUUCUCGCGUGUACUUUUUGUUGACCAGUGGUAAAAUUCUAUAGUUGCACUAAAAUCAUUAGAUGAAUUGUGUGUUUUACUAAAAAAACAAAUUGAUAACUUAAAAUUUUCAUUUUAUAUUGAAACCACCAAUUGAAUCAAUGGUGUCAAUAAAAAUAAAAAUUAUUAUUUAUUUAUAUAAUUACUUUUUACUGACUACUUAUCAGUAUGAAUUACUUUUUCUAUUACACUGAAACCACCAACUCAAUUGGAGGUUUCAGUGCAACACUCUCUCUCCAUAUCAAGACAGACAUUAAAUUGAUAAAUAAUUUUAAUUUGGCAAUUAGAUUGAAAAUUAGUUUUUUGAAAAGAAUUAUUUUGUCAAGACCCCAUAAAAAAAGAACAUACUUCUCACCCUCAAUGGGUGAAAUUUGCAGCAAGCCACAAAACUUGAUGGAGUCUUUCUUCAUCUUGAACUAAAAACAUCAAAAUCUAUUGAUUUUCUUUAAGACACUCUUUUGUUUUUAUUUAAUUCAAAGAUUCUUUUAACACCUUUAGAUGCUCAUUAAACUAUUCAGUUCAUUCUUCACAAAAUGUCAUUUUAAAAGUUAGUACCAUAUACUUACGAUAGCCUUAUUAUUUAGUCGCUCAGUAAAAAUGCACUUUUUGAAAAAUGACUAAAUAAUUUAAAGAAAUUAAAUUUUAAGAGAUAAUCAUUAUAUUUAUUAAAUUAAAUUGCUUUCACCUAGUAAAUGAAACCAUUUAUACAUCAAAUCAAAUUAUCAUAUUUUUAAAACAUUAUAUUAUUUUAUUUUUUUAAUAAAAAAAUAAAAAAUAUCUUAUUUAAAUUAAAAAAUUAUUCUUAAUUAAUUUGAAGCAUGAAUAGACCGAAUAGUCAAGUCACUUCCCAAAAUAAAAUUGAAUUCCGGUUAACUUAAGAGUUUCAAACGAGGAAUCCAAACUAUGUCGUUUAGCUCUGGCCAAAGUUUUAUUGCCACGUGGUGAAUAGGUACAGUUUAAGGUGCCACGUCAGGGUGAAGGUCCAUCCACACCGUAAACGGUAUCAAUCUUGGCUACCAAGGAAUCUCUCUAUUGGUUGGGAACACAAUAGGUACAGAGCCAUCUUUCUUUAUAUAUAUGUGUAUAUAUCCAUACUCUCAUGUCUGCGCUGAGAGCUUCCCAUUAUCAAAACACACACUUUCUCCCUUCCACCAACUCAACAAUCAGUUUCUUCCCUGUUCUUUCUCUGCUCUGUUUUUAUUUUUGUUUCAAGAUUUUCAGUUACCGUAUCCAAAUCAUGGAGCUUACACCUUCUAAGCCUAUCAAACAGGAGAGAACUCUUCCUCCAAAAAGAGGGAGGAUUAAGAAGAUGAUAAUUAAGGGUAUUGUGAAAUCAACUUCAGUAGCAAUUGUUUCUGUUGGUAAGAAGCUCAAACGCAGUGGGAGAAGUUUCACUACCUCAAAUUCGUCGACUUCGUUUGCGAUUUCAAGUGGGUAUAACUCAGAUAGAACAUCUGAGUCUUGAUCUCUGAUCAAUUGGGUUUGUUUUGAUUGUUGUAUUAUACUGUAUAAUGUAUAGUAUUAGCCAUAACUGUACUCUUGAUUUUUUAUUUUCUUUUUGGUUUUCGCUAUCCAAAUUAGCCUACUCUGGUUUUUGGAUUCUGAAAUAAUUCUUUAAUUACUUUCUCUUUUCCCUUUCUAAUUGGUAAUAGAAGAUGAGAUUAUGUGGAGCUGGGUUAUUGGACUGCUUGUACUUAUAUUUAUACAUAUGCAUAUUAGUUGAUUUUGAGCAAUUUAAAUUGAUUAAUUGCAGUAUAAUGAAUUAGCAGUUUUCUUUUUGGAUAUUUCCUUUCUUCUGUUUUCCUACCCUUCCAUUCCUAGUUGAAAGACUGUUCAACCGUAUGAUUAAACCCGGUCGAACGUUAACCCAUUUAAAGAGCCGGGUAGAUGGUUUAAUCAAUGUGUCCAUACAAAUAUUAAUAUAUAUAUUAAUUAAACAUUAUUAAUUUAAGAUAAUUAAUGUAUCGGGCUAAUGCCAUUCCCUUUUUAUUAUUCUCGUUUAAGUAUUUGAAAAGGAAAUAUUUGUACCGGUGAGAUUUUAAAUUUGAGACCCACUUUUUGAUAAUCCCACUAGUGUUUUUUGGAAAGAAAAUUUCCACAUACUCCUUAAGUAUAGUUUUCAACAUGUACUAAUAGGAGUUUAUUACUAUUUCUUUUGUAUAAAAAAAAAAAUUUAUUAUUAAUAAAGUGUUGAUGAACGUGGUAAGUUAUCUUAUGAAAAAUACGUUUUACUGAGAGAAAAAAUCUUUUAUGCUCUACAAUUAUACUAAAAAAAAAAAUUUAUUUAAAAUAUAAACUAAUAAGGAAAGAUGAAAUGUUUGUUCUCAUAUUUGGUUGAUUUGAAAAAUAUUGAACUAAACUUUUAUCUUUAUAUUUGGCAUGCAAUAAAUUAAAAUUUUGUAUGAUUUUAUAUUUAAAUAAUAUAUCUAUUUGAAUAUUUAAAUAUAUAAUUUCUUCAUAUUUAUAUUUAAGACAAAAGGUACAAGUGUGAAACAAAAAUAUAUAAAAUUUACUAGUCAUGUCAACGAGUCAACAUUGAUGACAAAACAGCCAUGUAAUCAGUAUACUUCGUGUACAAGCUUCUUACUUGCCAGCUCACAAGCUUGAAUAUUAUUCAACAUAAACUCCUUUUAUGUUUUUCUAAAUAAAAUUGAUUUGAUUUCAAUUUAACAAGUCUAUUCAUAUAAUUUCAUUUUCUGUAUCUACUUAACUAAGGAAAUGCAUAGGGUUUCUAUAUUUCUCUUUUCCUUUUGGUUUAUCUAAUCUUAAUUUUUGUUUGGGACUGUUGUAUUAAUCAGCAAUAGCUCCCUAUUUAUCUUUUUUUUCUCGUUCCUAAUUUUUUUAUUUAUUUUUAAUAAACUCAGAUCUUUUUUUUUUAAUAUAUUUAUUUUUUCUUUAUUUUUUUUGUUAUUGUUCCUUUGUCUUCAUGUUUGGAGUUCUUUUGUUCCUUCUUCUGUGGGGAUUUAGUUCCUUUUUUUUUUGAGAAGGUUUAUUUUUAAAAGAUAUGAUAUUUGAUUUUAUUUGAUUAUAGAAUUUAGAUUUUGUUUUACUGAUGUGUAUCUUUCAUCAAUAGAAUCUGGUUGUGUGCCAAUCCUCCAUUGAUGCUAUUAACGCAUAGUAAUUUGAAUUCAUCUGUGUAAGUCAUACGCAAUAAAUUUUUGGAAAAACAAUCCACGCAUAGAAGAUUUGGAGAAGUUAUUUUAUUGUCCAAAUAAAUUAAAAGAACAGUUGCUACUAUGAAAAUUUAUAUCGGUCAAGGUUAUCUUUAAGCGAAAAAAAUCCAAUAGUGUUUCUUUUAGUUAUAGUUUUAUUAUUCAUAAGAAUAUAGAAAAUUCUUUUAUUGUUGAAAAAUCAGUGAACUUUCUAUUAAUUAUGAUAGUAAGUUAUAUAUCUGAUUGAGUAUUUAUAAUACUUGAUUUUAUUAUUAAUGAAUUAUAUUUCUUAAAAAAAAAAAACCUAAGGAAAUGCAUUAUUCUUACCUACCAAAUAGGUGCUAUAUAUAUCGAACUGUGGUGUGGUGAUUCUUGUCUUCCUUUCUCCUAUAAUUGGCUUUCGAAGUUGCAACCAUUAGGUUAAAAGAAAAAAAUUUAAGAGAAUGUAUGUUUUUAUCGGGAGCGAGCAAUAUGUUAGUUUCUAAUUAAAAAUUAAACCAAAUCGAUUCAUUUAAAUUGAAUUCAGAUAGUUGGUUUGGAAAUUCAUUGAGUUUAGAUAUAAAAAACUAUUUAACUUUAAAUUUAGAUUUGAUUGUUAACCAAAUUUAUUUUUAAGGCAAGUUAAUUUAGUUUGAAAAAAACCAAAUUUAAAUCGAGUUGUUGUUUGGAUUGUCCUUUUUAUUAUUAUGGUCCGUCCUUUAUUAUUAUAGUUUUAAAUCAAGUUAAUUUAUGUAUUUUGUGGCUGUAAGCAAAAUACAUGAUUUCAUUAUUCUGCAAUCUCAUGCAUUUGCCGUCAUAUGAUAAUUUAAAAUAGAAAUGUUACAUUUAUAAUCAAUAUAUCUCAUUUUUCAUCAAUUAAUAACAUGCCAAAUUUUAUUUUUUAAAAAUUUCCUUCAAAAUUUAGUAAUAAAAUAAUAAAAAUAUUUUAAAAUUCAAAAAAAAAAAUCAAAUCAUAAAUUGAGGAUGGAGAAAAAAAAAGAAUAAAAAUUAAUUAUUUUCUAUGUUUCUAUUUUUUAGUUUUGGAAUGAAAAUAUUUUUUAUUAUUUAAAAUAUACAAUUUGAUAUUUAUAAAUUUUUAUGAUAUAAACACAUCCUCAUGUGCUAAAUUAAUCUGAAAAUUAAUUUUGAAAUUUAAAUCAAAUCAAAUUUAAGAAUCGAAUUAAGUGUUUUUCCAAAUUUAGAAUCUGAUUUUGAUUCCUCUUUGAAAGUGAUUCCAUUUUUUUUUUAUUUCAACAAUAUAACUUUGUUUUAGCAUAUUCCCAUCUCUAUUUUUUUUCUUAGUUUAAUUUAAUUUAAUUUAAUUCAAAUCAAAUGAUUAAUUUAAUUCAAAUCAAAUUAUUAAUUUAAGCUUUCACUUGUCUGAUUCUUUUUUGCACGUUAAUCUUAUUGUCCUCAUUUGUCAAAAUUGGAAGCACAUUUUUGCUUCUAGAAUUGAAUUUAUUCUCCAAGUUUUAUUAAAUAACUGCUUAACACUUGCUGUUUGAGUUUUAAUCAGGCAGAAAAAAAAAGAAAGUGCAAUACACACAUGGAAUAUAGAUAAGACACGUUUGAUCAAAAUCAUAGGAAUUUAAAUAAAACAAUAUUAAUUCAUAUAUAUUUUUUGUACGCACGUUUCAUAAACGAUGUGGUAUGCUAAAAGAUUAGCCUCACGGGCCUUCAUACUCCGAACACAUAAAGGUCCAAUAGACUUUUCUUUUAUCAAAAUCUUAACAAUUUUGACAAAACAUGCUAAAUAUUUAACUAUAAAAUUAAGUUCAACUAUACAAUUCAUUUAAAAAUAUUAAAUUUUAUGUAAUUAUGUUGAAUAUAUAAAUAUAUUUUUAAAGGAGAAAUAGAUAUUUUUAUUUAUACCAAACAAUGAAACAAAGAAAUGCAAAUAAAUUUUAUAAAAAUGGAAUUCAUUUAUGCUAAAUGGAAUUUUCAGAAAAAGUUUCAAAUAUAAUUUUUCAAAAAUCAGUUUGAGACUCGAAAAAAAAAAAAUAUAUAUUGCAAAAAUGUAUACUGAUGGAACAAAAUUUAUUAUUUGUAAUAGUAGUACCAAACAGAUAAUAAUAGAAAGGAAAAAGGAAGAAGAAAUCAUAAGCCAAAAAAAAAAAAAAUCAAUUUUUAUUAGAGAGUUGAAAGUCUGCCUUUGACAAACGAAAUAGCAAGUCAAUGCUUGGAAAUUAGUUUCUCAAAUUCGCUGCUUACCUUUAACUUAUCCAUAAAUUACUAGUAAUUAUCCACGUGUACAUAUUCCAGCCUGGAAAUUUGAAUCAUUCUUUUCUUCUACAUUUUGAUUUUUGUAAUUUUGUUUGUGGAAAUCCUCCAUUAUCUAUUCAAAACUGACUCGUAUAAUAUGGCUAAACAUUGAUACAAUUAGGGUGGAGCAUCCAUCGGUUGGAUUUCAUUCUAGUUGGACUUGAAAUUUUUGUUUUUUUUUAAUUAAACCAAACCAAAAGAUUAAAGAUUUAUGAUUUACAAGUGAACGGUACUAAAUAUUUAAAUAAAUCAAACUCAAUUUUCAAAUUAAAAUAAUUCAAUUUGAUUUUUUCAAUCAAAAUCGAAUAGUGUUUACUUCAAAAUGUUAGACUCCAAAAUUAGGAUCGAUAGAUUUCGAUUUGACUGACCGAAUUAAUCAAAUAAAACCAAUUUAGUUUUUAGUCUAUUUCAUUUAGUUUUAAUUUUAAAAAGAAAAAAGUUGAAAUUUUUUUUUAUUCAGUUUUUUUAAUUAACAUAAAUAAUAAGCCCAAAAAUUAAUUUAAUCAAAUUGAACUAAUUUGAUAUGCUUAUGUAUAAAAAUUGAGUUGAUUUUUAUUUUUAUUUAUAAAAAUUUUGAUUUAUUUUCAGUUUGUAAUGAUUUGAUUGGUUGACUGAAUGCUCUGCUUUGCUCAAAGCAACCAUCCAUACGCUAAACAUCUCAAAACGACUACGUGUUUUUAACCUCAUUGUUCUAGAUUGGUUAUUCAUACGUAUCAUUAAGAAGUGCGUUGAGUAAUGUUAAAUUACAGCUCUAUGGUAGAAAGUUUCUCAAAAAGCAAAUAUUAGUAUAUAUUUGGUAAAAGAGUAAUAUCAACAAAUUAAAAAAAAAAAAAAAUCAAGGGACAUUGAUGGAUUGACUACUUUGAAAAUUGAGUAUCAAUAUACCAAAUCAUCAUAUCAAGCAAUUAACAAGGACAAAGUGAAUUGAAAAGAAGUGAUUUUCUACAAAGAAAUUGUCAAGUCAAAAAUGGAGAAAAAGAAAAUUUCCCAAUUUUGCAUCUAACCUUUAUGUAUCUCUUGGAGCAUUUUUCUACAUGUUCUCCCUUGGUAAGAUUUUCUUUGUGGUGAAGGAAAGGGAAUAUAUAUAUAUAAUACAAGGAUUAAGACAUUACCAAUUGCCAUUUCUCCUUGAAUUCUCCUUCCUAGAAGAUUUUGUAAAUGGACUAUUACUAAGUCAAGAACUUCUCUGUGUUUUGUAGAGAUUGGUCAAAGUUGGCCAAGUUGAAUUAUAGGUUUCUUAGCAUUGUUGUGUUUAUUUUUUAUUUUUUAUUUUAUAAUUGCACGAGUUAUCCAGGCUCAUGUAUGUUUUAACGGUCUAUAAAUCUGACUAAUCACCGCUCAUGCUCGGAGAUACAGGAGCUAGUCCGGGGGAGGUUGCUUUGCGGAAGAUCGAAUUCAUGACUUAACUCAUGGUAAUCAACUCCGCAAGUAAUUCUUAGCAUUGUUGUGAUUAUUGAAACAUAUAAACUUUUAUUAUUAAUAUUGAAAACCCACAACAGCACCACAUGGAUUUUAGGUUCAGAUUUGAUAUGUUAAAACUCAAUAAUAUUACUAAUAUCAAUUUUGAUUUAACAAUACAUAAUUUAAAUUCAAAGAUCUCUGAAAACACUUGUCAACAAGGUGAAUCCAAAUGCUAUUAUGGUCUAUUUAAACAAAUAAGUAUUUAUUUAAAUUUAAAUUUCAAGUGAAAUUAUAAAAGAAUAGACAUGAUACAAUAUUCUAAAUUCACAAUUAUUUCAAAUGACUAUCUAUUCAACUAAACCUUGUGAAAUCAAGUGCAAAAGUACAAUAUAUCAAUCCAUAGGGCAACUAGGGGUGUAAAUUAGUUUGGAAUAUACCAAAUUCAAAUUCAAGUUCCCAAUUAAAUUUCAAAUUGAAAUGAAAUUUUAGAAUAUAAAAUCUAAAUGAAAUAUAUUUUUUAAAAUAUUUGUAUAUGAAAUAUGAAAUGGAAACAUAAUAGAAAGUUCCAAUAUUCAAAUUCAUACAUCUAAUUUUUUUCUUCUAUGUUUAGUUUUAAUUAUAUAUUUUAUUAAUAAAAUAUUAAACUUGAGUAAAAUAUAUUUUCAAAAAUUUUUAAUUCAUUGGAGAGGAAUCAAACUCAAUAUAUUUCAGAUCUCACAUAAAUAAGAAGACCAACGAUACCACCACCUUAUUGGCAAAAUAUUUUCAAAUUUUAAUAUUAAGAAAACAAUCUUUUUCAUUCUAAAACUUUAUAGUUUAAUGAAAUACUUUAAUCUUAAUAACAAUUAAUAUAGGCUUGAAAAUCUAAGAAUCAAAAUAAAAAAAGUGAAGUUAACUUCAUUGAGUCAUAAAUUACAAGUUUUUCAUCACUCUUCUCUAAUUCCUGUCAAGUUAUCAGGAAAAAGUAUUAUUAUUUUCCUUUGUUGUAUUUGGCAAGAAAAUUUAUUUUUUAAUGAUCUACUUUGAAUUUUUUAAAAUAUUUUUAUUUGAAUUGCUCUUUUAAUAUUUUUUUCCCUUUUGAAAGGAUAUUUGUUUCUUUUAUUUUCUCAUUUAUCUUUCUAAUUUUCUUUUUUAGGGUUUUAUUGUAUCUAUUUCAUGAUUGCACCAAUUUUUUAUUUUUUGUAUUUUUUUUUACUUUAUUGCUAAUAAACUAGAAGGUUCUCAAGUGAAGUUAUUAUCCCCAUUCCUCAGUUUCAAGCUUGAAUUUUUAAUUAUAUGAAAUAUUAAUUUGUUGUUUAUUGCAACUUAGUUUAUGAAAUAUUAUUUAAUUUUUAAUAUAUCAUAAUAGACUAGAUUUGUAUUUAUAUUUUCAUAAAAUGGUAUGAAAUAAAAUUUAAAUUUUAAAAAAUAUUUGAAAUGCAAUAAAAUUUUAAAUUUCAAAACAUUUUAGAAUGGAAUUGAAACGGUUAUCAUUCCAUCCACACUAACCGAAUUACACCUGUAACGGCAACUCAAUUUGAGCUUCAAUUUCUUGUUAGUUGCCGUUCUGUUGAGGCUGUUUUUGUGUUAGGCCCAUUACUUACCAUUCGGUUAUGGCACUUUGGGCCUGAACCUAUAUUUUAAGGGUGUGCCGUGUGCGUUGCAAUGUUUCUUUUCCUUUUUUUGGAUAAAAAAAUAUACAUAAAAUAAAUAAGUAAAUAAAUCAAAAGAAUAAUAUCAAACAUAAGUUAAAUCUAAACAUUCUGCAAAUGGGUUUAGGUACCAUCAACCAAGAAUCAUUGAUGAAUAAACAGUUUCAACAUCAUUUGAUGCAGGACGGUUACGUGAAUGGAAAAUAACGAUUAUACUCCGUUAGGAAUUUUGAUCAAUAUCAUUUGAUUUGACGAAGGAAUUAGAGAAUUAAACUUUCAAAAAAAUUUAUUGAGUAUGAAUAAUGCUCAAAGAAUAAUUGCCCACCAAAAUAAGAAAAAUAACCUAUUUAUAUGUUUAGGCUAAAAUAUAAAAAACCCUAAAAAAUAACACAAAAGUCGUAACUGGACAAAACCUAGCAAGGUCGGCCGCACGGGCAUGCUUGGUGUGACACGGGCGUGCUUGGUAUGACAUGAGCGUGCCGACGCUCGAAACGUUACUGGACUCAUCGGCUUCGGCAUGGGCGUGCUUGACUUGGUAUGGGCGUGCUUGGACUUCCAGAGGCUAGCACGAGCAGGCUGGCUGUGACAUGGGCGUGCUUGUGCUUCUUAGGCUUGGGUGUGUUUCGCAUCCUGGACUAGAGGCUGGCACGUGCGUGCUAGAUAUGGCACGGCCGUGCCCCUUCUUUUAGGUUUGCAGCGAUCCAAAUCAUCCAUAUAUUGACGUGUAAGUUACUCCGCAUCAAUCCCCCUCCCCCCACUUUAAAAGAACUCGACCUCGAGUGAUCAUCAUCGGGGUAGAAAGGGAAUAAGUCAGCAACAUUGAAGGUCCUGGAAAUCUUCAUGUCUUCGAGCAGGUCAAUCACAUAGGCAUUAUCCUUGAUAUGCUUAAGUAUCUGAAAUGGCCCAAUCUUUUUUGAAUCAAGUUUCUUCUGUCCUCCACCACAUUCCUUGCAAAGAUACACCAUAACCCAAUCACCCUCAAUAAAAGAUUUAUAACAUCGGUGUUUAUCAACUGCAGCCUUAUAUUUUUCAUUGGCAGCAGUGAUGAAUGGCUGCACUUGCUUGAACACCUCCACAUGCUCGGUAGCCAAGUUAUUAGUUGCAAUACUCUUCUCUACACAUGCUGGAAGGGAAAGGAGGUCAAGAGUAUGGGCUGGUACCUUCCGGUAGACAAUUGCAAACGGUGACAUCUUGGUGGAGCUAUGGAUAGCACUGUUCUAAGCAAAUUCUGCUUGGGCAAGAGUAAGAUCCCACAUUUUCUUCUUCUCACUGCAAAUGCACCUAAGGAGAUUACCAAGAGUCCGGUUCACUACUUCAGUUUGACCAUCAGUUUGGGGGUGAGCGGUACUGCUGUAGUGAAGUUGAGUGUUAAAUCCUUCCAUAAAGUGUCCAAAAGUGAGCUAGAAACUUUGUGUCUCGGUCAGAUGUGAUGGUUUUAUGAAUGCCAUGCAACCGAACAAUCUCCUGAAAGAAUAACUUUGCUAUGUGAGAGGCAUUAUUAGUUUGCCUGCAAGGAAUAAAAUGUGCCAUCUUGGAGAAUUUGUCAACAACAACAAAAAUAGAAUCGGCCCCAAGUUGAGUUCGAGGUAAACCCAACACAAAAUCCAUAGAUAAGUCCUCCCAAGGUUGUUCCAGUACAGUCACCGGAGUGUAAAGACCAGUGUUUUGAGAAUGGCCCUUUUGUGUCUGGCAAAUUGAGCAUUUUUGGACUAGCUUCCCUGCUUCCUUUUUUAAUUGUGGCCAAUAGAAACGAGCCUCCAACCCCGCAAUCAUUUUAUCUCAUCCCAAAUGUCUGCUCAAUCCUCCACCAUGGAUUUCUCAGAUUAAUUACUCCCGGAGGGAAGACUGAGGGAUGCACAGUCUGUUUUCCUUGAAUAAAUAUCCGUCAUGAACCAAGAACCCGCUAGUAGGCUAUUUAACAUCAAUUUUUGCCCAUAUGUCAGUAAAAUCUUCAUCCGAUGCAUACAGAUCUUUAAGAAAUUCGAACCCCACAAUCUCUUGCCUAAUUAAUCAAUAAGGCUACUUUCCUGCUCAAAGCAUCCGCUACGGUGUUACAAGUACCUGAUUUGUGUUUAAUGACAUAAUGAAAAGCACCAAAAUAAGUUACCCAACGCACAUGCAUCUUGCUCACUUUCUUCUGAGUUUGAAAAUGAGUUAAGGCCUGAUGAUCAGUGUAGAUAAUGAACUCACACCCCUACAAAUAAUGUUACCAAGUCUUGAAAGCUCAAAAAACUGCAUACAAUUCUUGCUCAUAAGUGGACCAUUUUUGUCUAACUUCAUUCAAUUUCUCACUAAAGAAUGCAAUAGGCUUUCCAGAUUGCGUCAAAACACCACCAAUUCCAAUCCCACAAGCAUCACACUCAACCUCAAACAGCUUAUCAAAAUCAGGUAAAGCAAGAAUAUGGGUGGAAGUAAGCUUAUCUUUGAUCUUUUCAAAGCUUUUGUUUGCAGCUUCGGUCCAUACAAACUGACGAACUCUCUCUUUCUUCAAAUAGUCAGUGAUAGGAGUGACAAUGCUGCUAAAGUUCCUGAUGAACUGCCUAUAGAAAGUAGCAAGUCCAUGAGAGCUGCGAACUUCAGUGAUGUUCUUGGGAAUAGGCCAGUUUCGGAUGGCCUCAAUUUUUCUGUCCUCAACAUGAAUUCCUUCCGGGCUAACAAUAUAGCCAAGAAACAAAAUUCGUUCUGUCAAAAAACUGCACUUCUUAAGGUUGAUGUACAACUCGUUUUUCUACAAAGCAUCCAACACGUGUCGAAGGUGCUGAAGGUGUUCUUCCUCACUGCGACUGAAAAUUAGGAUGUCAUCAAAAUAAACAACCACAAAUUUGCGCAAGAAAGGACGCAAAACCUGAGUCAUAAGUCGCAUGAAUGUGCUCGGUGCAUUUGUCAACCCAAACGACAUACCUAACCACUCACAUAACCCUUCCUUAGUCUUAAAUGUAGUCUUCCAUUCAUCUCCCUCCUUGAUUGGAAUUUGAUGGUACCCGCUGCGAAGAUCUAUUUUAGAAAACACUAUAGAUCCUAACAGUUGGUCCAACAUGUCCUCCAGUCGAGGAAUAGGGAAUCGAUACUGCAACAUGAUCUUGUUGAUGGCUCUACUAUCCAUACAAAUUCGCUAAGUCCCAUCCUUCUUUAGUUCCAAUAAAGUAGGAACUCAACAAGGACUAAUGCUCUCCCGGAUAUGUCCCUUCUUCAAUAAUUCUUCUACCUAUUCUUGAAGAAUCUGGCUCUCCUUUGGGUUCAUCUUAUAAUGGGGUAGGUUUGGUAUCUUUGAUCCAAGGAUAAAAUCAAUCUGAUGUUGAAUGUCCCGCAAAGGUGGAAGCGUAGAUGGUUAUUCAACUACGGCAUGAAAUUCAUCCAGCAACUCCUUGACUGUGGUGGUACUAGUGCCUCUUCAUUAGAGUCUGUCUCUGGCUUGAUCAACAAUGCCAACGCACCUUCGGACUUCUCAAUUGCACUAGAUAAUUCUUGCACAUCGGAAGAAAUAGCUACUAUGGAUUUCCCCUCCACUUUAGAAGCUUUGGCAGAAGAUCCAGAAGGUAAGACAAUGAUUUUCUUAUUUUUCCAAGUAAACAUGUAUGAAUUCUCCCUUCCCUUGUGCAAUGCAUCUACAUCAAACUGCCAUGGUUAUCCUGACAGUACUCCACAAGCAUCCAUAUCCACAACAUCAUAACUAACGGAGUCUGAGUACGAUUUUUCCAUUGAUAUAGGAACCUUACAAAUCCAGUUUACUUCAAUCAUUGGACCCUCUUUAAUCCACCCUAUCUUGUACGACGAAGGAUGUGGUUCUGUGGGUAAAUUUAGCUUUUCAACUAGUUGUUUGCCUAUCAAAUUUUCAUAACUACAAACUGUCAAUAAUGAGUCGGCACACCGCAUCACCAACCCGACAUUUAGCCUGGAAAAUUUUUCUUGAUUGAGUGUCGCUUUUGUAGUUUGGAGAACACAAAAUUUUCUGAACGACAUAUGUAACUUCUCCAUCUUCAGAACUAGCCACGGAUCCAUCAUCUUCGUCUUCUAACUCUUCAACCUUAGUCAAUUCAUCAACUACAUUCACCCGUCGACACCCAUCAUUAGCUCCCCUACGUUCUGGACAUAUAUUAGAUGUAUGCCCCUGUUUUCUACAACGGUAACAAUAGUCUCCAGUUGGCUUCUGAUACGGAUUCAGUUUGUUGUUUCUAUCUGUCAAGGAAGCCUUUCUCCGGGAGUCUUUCUUUUCUUCUCUUGUGAGCUGUUGUGAACUCUGGUUAUUGGCGGGAGUGGCUGCUCUUGAGUUCUGUCCACCAGAAUUUCUAUAGAACUGCUGAUUUUCGGAUGAAUAGGGUUCCCUAAAGUUCUGGUUACGAUUAACUGAUUGUCGCGGCAGCCAAUUAAUUCCAUCUUCCACUCAUUUGGCCAUCUCAAUCGCAUCUGCCAAGGUGAAAAUCGCAGCUACACCCAUCAUACACAUUAUAUCAUGACUCAAUCCCCACUGAUAAUGAGUCUCUUGCUGGGAUGCAGUUUCACAAUUGUCGCAUCGUGCCUGCAAUCUCAAAAACUCUUCCGUGUACUCAUCCACCUUUCAGUUUCCCUGGAAACAGUCAUGGUACCUGUUGUACAAUAUUUGAGAGUGAUCAUUGGGAAGAAAACGUUGCUCAAUCAAUUGUUUUAUUAAAACUCAAUCUCGCACAGGUUCAAUCCUUCGACGAUGACAUUCGUUUUGAAUAGAAUGCCACCAUGCUGCUGCACCGCCUUUCAGUUUAUAGGCCACAAUGGAAACUUUACGUUCAUCCUCGACAUUCAUGAUCUCGAAGAAUCAUUCAAUCUCCGCUAGCCAGUCAAGAAUACUUUCUAUGUCUAGCGAUCCUGAGAAGGGUUGAAGGUCUACUUUUAUCUUGUAUCCUUCAUGAAAAUUGCAGCCAUUGCCUCUAUAAUCUCGGCCUCCAUCAUAACGAUUUUGGCAUCUUGCAUAAUCUGGUUAUGGUGGUUUCAAAGCUGCAAGUUGUGGGUUGCCUUGUUGGAUUGCGAGAGUCAACUGUCUAAUCUGUUCGGUUAACUCUUCAAACCUCACCUCUAUGGCUGUGAGUCGUGUCUCAUGAUUGUCGACCAUGGAGAUACUUCACCUUUCGGCUCUGAUACCAACUGACGCAGAACGGUUACAUGAAUGAGAGUAACGAUUAUACUCUGUUAGGAGUUUUGAUCAAUGAUGUUUGAUCUGACGAAAGAAUUAGAGAAUGAAACUCUCAAGGAAGUUUAUUAAGUAUGAAAAAUGGUCAAAGAAUAAUUGCCUAUCAAAAUAAUAAAAAUAACAUAUUUAUAUGUUUAGGCUAAAAUAUAAAAACCCUAAAAAAAUAACACAAAAGUCAUAACUGGACAAAACCCUAGCAAUGUCGGCGGCACGGACGUGCUUGGACUUCUAGAGGCUAGCACCUGCAUGCUUGGACUUGGCACGGGCAUGCUUGGACUUCUAGAGGCUAGCACAGGCAGGCUAGCUGUGACACGGGUUUGCUGGUUGUGACACGGACCUGCUUGUGCUUUUUAGGCUUGAGUGUGUUUCGCAUCCUAGACUUCCAGAUGCUGGCAUGGGUGUGCUAGAUAUGGCACGGCCAUGCUCCUUCUUCUUAGGUUUGCAGCGAUCCUAAUCAACCAUAUAUUGAAGUGCAAGUUGCUCCUCGUCAUCAUUAGAUUGCUAAAUGUAUAUUUUAACAUAAGCAACAAAUUGCAAGAUAUUGUCUCCCUGUCUUAAUAAGCUGCCAAUUCACUCCGAAUAAGUAAAGACAAAAUAUGAUUGUCAAUAAAUAAUUAGUUUAAAAAAUGGUAUUUGCCUCAAAUUGCAAGAUCCUGUCUCCCUAUGUUCUGUUCACAAGCUGCCAAAUCACUGUAAGGUGUAAACAGUAAAGCCAAAAAAAUAAUUUUAGGUGACUACAAUGCAAUAUUACAUAGAGCUAAGGUUGGAGAUUCUGGUUUUCAUUACAACAUAUUUUAGAUACUGAUCCUGAUAUAACAAGAACAGAACAAAUUUGCAAUAUGUGGAAUAAAUUCCGUUAAAAUUAAAACAUAUCUGCAAGAUAAAACCAAAUCAAUUUACUCCAUCUCGUUCAACCUUUCUUGAUUUCUGCAAUGAAGUGCUAACAUGUAUAUUAUCCAUGUAAACCAAACGAUUCCAUCGGUAUAAUCUAAUUUCAACAUCGAACUAGGCCCAUUUUACAAUAUCAGAUUUGUCAUAUUACAAAUGUACUUUUUUCAGAUUACCGAACCAAAGCAUUUCCUUGUAUUUUUAUAAACAGAAAAACAAAUUGGCUCUAGUAAAGCUAGGAUGUGGAUUUCAUAUCUUUCUACAAGUAAAACCUUAGCAAGAAUUCCCAUUUUCCUCUCUUUCUUUCUCCUCUUCUCUACAAUAACUUCAGAUGACUCCAUUGCUAUCCUAGAACUAGCAAAACAUCUAAAUCCAACUCCAACAGGUUGGUCAACAAAUAACUCAACUAACUAUUGUUCAUGGCCAGGCAUCACAUGUGAUCCCUCCAACCAUGUCACCAUAAUUUCUCUCUGUGGUAGGAAUCUCUCUGGUACCCUCCCAUCUGAACUCUCUACUCUGUCCAAGCUACAAUACCUUAAUCUUAAAAGUAAUCGUCUCUCCGGCCCCAUCCCUUCCCUCGCUAAUCUAAGUGACCUCCUAGAUGUAUCUCUUGCUUCCAACAACUUCACUCGUAUACCUCAGGGCUUCUUCCAAGGACUAACUGCAUUGCAAUUUUUCAUAAUUGACGAGAAUCUUAAUCUAGCUCCUUGGUCUAUGCCUACUGAUUUGAGUCAAUGUACAAGCCUAAUUACAUUCAAUGCAAGAAAAACAAAUCUUGAAGGAAAUUUACCUGAAAUAUUUGCCUCCCUUUCUAGUUUGCAGCAUCUUAUCUUAUCUUUCAACAACUUGAGAGGAGUUUUGCCUGCGUCUUUUCGAAAUUCGGGAAUUCAGAUAUUGAAGCUGAACAGUCAGAAAAAAAAGUUAUCAGGUAAUAUCAGUGUAUUAUCAUCAAUGACAAGGUUACAGAAGGUACGGCUCCACGAAAAUAAGUUCACAGGUCCAAUUCCAGAUUUAUCAGAAUGUGAUAUUUUGUAUGAAUUGCAGCUAAGAGAUAAUCAUCUUACAGGAAUUGUGCCUGCCUCAUUGAUUUCACAUCCUAAUUUGAGAUGUCUUUCCAUAUCAAACAACAAAUUGCAAGGUCCUAUACCUGUUUUUCCAAAGAAGAUCAAGGUAGAGAACAAAGGGAAUAAUAAUUUCUGCUCCCGCAAAGCUGGAGAUACCUGUGAUCCACAGGUGACUAUAAUGCUGGAAAUUGCAGGUGCUUUAGGGUAUCCAAUGAACUUGUCAGAUUCUUGGCGAGGCAAUGAUGCUUGUAAGAAUUGGUCAUUUGUUACUUGUGAUGAAUUCAAUAGGAUAAUAUCAGUAAAUUUGGGGAAGCACAAUUUUGUAGGCAGAAUAUCUUCAGCAUUUGCUGAUCUUAAAGUAUUAAGGAGUUUAUAUUUAGAUGAUAAUAAUCUGACAGACCCAAUACCUGAUAGCUUGACAAACUUGACAGAACUUCAGGUUCUUGAUGUCUCUAAUAACAAUCUAACCGGAACAAUCCCGGAUUUUGCUUCUUGGGUCAAAUUAAUUGCUACACCAGGCAAUCCACUUCUCAAGUAUAGAAUUUAUAAUCUCAAUACAUCUAGAACAAUAUCACCAUUAGAGAUAGUCAUUCCCCUGAUUGUAAUUGUCUUAUGCAUUGCUUUUUUCUUGUUCAAUUAUAUUAUGAAGAAAAAGUACAGAGAGUCUGGGAGAGUGAAGGACGAGGAAAAGAAGGGAAAUGUAUCAGAUAAGAAUGAGAAAGGCUGUUUUAGAAACCCGAAAGAUGUUCUUGCUGAAAUAAAAAGCAGGGAUAACCAUAAAGAUGGAAAUGUUGUGAUUACAAUAGAAGUUCUUCGACAAGUAACUGAUAAUUUCUGUGAAAGUAAUAUUUUAGGUAGGGGAGGUUUUGGUGUGGUCUAUAAAGGGGAAUUGCAUGAUAAGACUAAGAUUGCUGUGAAGAGAAUGGAAACUUCAGCAAUUAGUACAAAGGGAAUGAAUGAGUUUCAGGCGGAGAUUGAAGUACUUACUAAAGUGAGGCAUAGGCAUUUGGUUGAUCUUUUGGGUUAUUGUAUAAAUGGAAAUGAAGGAUUUCUAGUAUACGAAUAUAUGCCACAAGGAACUCUAGCUCAACAUUUAUUCGAAUGGAACGAGCACGGUUACCUUCCUCUUACUUGGCAGCAAAGAAUUAGUAUUGCAUUGGAUGUUGCUCGAGGGGUGGAGUAUUUGCACCGAUUGGCUCAACAGAGUUUCGUCCAUAGAGAUUUGAAGCCUUCAAACAUACUUCUGGGAGAUGACAUGAGAGCAAAGGUUGGAGAUUUUGGAUUGGUCAAACAUGUUCCUAAUGAAAAUUAUUCAUUCGAGACAAAAGUUGCAGGAACAUUUGGAUAUCUUGCACCUGAGUAUGCCGGUAAGUGUGCAAAUUUUUGUUCAAGUGUCUGUAAUUUUUUAUCGAAUUUCUACUAAUUUUAUUCAACUGUAACAUGAACUUAUAUAGUAACUGGAAGAGUGACAACAAAAGUGGAUGUGUAUGCAUUUGGAGUGAUUUUGAUGGAGAUGAUAACAGGAAGAAAAGCUAUAGAUUAUACAAUGGAAGACAAAGGAUGGAUGUUUAUGCAUUUAGUGACAUGGUUUCACAGUUUCAUAAUCAAGAAAGAGAUCCCAAAAGCAAUAAUUGAUGAAACUCUGAAUCUUGAAGAGGAAAAUACCUUAUUGAGCAUUUGCAAAGUAGCAGAACUAGCAAAGCAUUGCACAAAUCCUGAAAAAUGUCAAAGACCUGACAUCGGCCAUGUAGUGAGUUUCUUGGCACCUCUUGUAGAAGACUGGAAACCUGCAAGCCAAAAACAGCAACAAACAUCUGGAAUCAAGAUUAAUCUAUUUUGUAGUUCUAUAAAUUUUAAUAGCAAGUCUGGUUUUCAGACCCAAUCAAGUGGUUCUAAUGUAUUUGUAACUCCAAGGGAAAGCCCAAUAAUUAGUAAUUGAAGGGGAAAAAAAAUAUUUCUUUUCCAUCAAAAAAGAAUGACUCAACUUUAAAAAUUUUAGCUUGAUUCAUCGUUUAUGAUAAAGGCUCAAGUUAUGUUAGGGAUGAACAUCUAUUCAACCAAAUCAAGUCGAGCUAAAUUGAAAAUUUUUACUUUCUUGAAGGAAUUUAACUAAAAAUUUAAACUGAAUUGACUAAAAUAGUAUCGAUUGAAUUCAAUUUUUAGUUUAUAUCGAAGUUUUAAACUUUAUACCUAUAAAACAGGCUAAAUAUAUCUAUAAUAAUCCAUCCCACCUUCAAAAUGUACCAUAUCAAAAUAUCAAGAUCAAUAAUACCAAAAUAAAAUAUUUUCAAUAAACUUAAUAUUUUAAUAGUAACAAAAUAAUUAUAAUAAUUAAUACGCCAAAUAAGAAAAACAAUUUAGAGUUAAAUCUCAUCUGAUUUUGUUGGCAUGGAGUUUAGGACUUCUAAUUUCGGUGGAGAGUAGAGGGUUGAUUUUUGAAAAGUUAACCUUUCAUAAAAAAAAACUAUUCGAAAUAUUUAGCUUUUAACGUUUUAUAAAAAAACUACUUGAAAUAUUUAGCUUUUAAUGUUCCGCAAUAUUAAUUGUUCGUUUGACACUUUAUUUACAAAUUUUCAGAGACUUCUAGACUUCAAUCAAAUCAUUAUUUUUCUAACAUUUCUAUUCAGAAGAUCCAGUUGAGAGGAUUUGAACAAUCAGAAAUUUAUCAGUUCCAGCAAUACUAUGGCAUUAUUCGAAUUUCGCUAACCGUAAUUCUCAAGAAAUAUAAUGAUUUAAAGAUGAGAUAUUGAAAAUUAACUUUUAAGAAAAUAUUUUUCUUAGAAAAUUUUUUUAAAAUGUAACUUAUUUUUCCGUUUUUUUCUCUCCGAUUUCUGGCGAUUGACUUUUUUUGGGGAGUCGCGAUUAUUUCACUGUUGAUUGUCCAUUAUUCCCUUCAUUUGCUGUAGCUUUCCAGCCAGUGGAAAGCACAAAUGUGGAAGUGAAAGCAACUUCCACUCUCUUCUCCUUCCCAAACAGCUUCUUAGUUGCGGAGAAUUUUAUGGGAUUGAAUAUUUUCUUUAGGUAGUUAGUAGUCAACAUCCUUUUGAACAAAAAUAAAGAAUAAAAUAGAAGCUUGCUCCUCUCAGGGGAGAAAAAGAAAAUAGAAAAAAAAGAAAAGAAAAACUUGAACUUUAUUAGUCAAUAUUCAAUAACAGUAACGCCCUUUUGGCUCUGGUUCACACAUGCAUUCAAAUUUGAAAGUUCAAAAAGAGAUCUAACAAAGAAAAUUCCCCCACAAGAACCAAAGUAUAGAGAUGAUAGAUCCCAUUCAGACUGGGCCCUCAUUUCCAUGUCUCUUCCCUUUAAGCUCUCAACCAUUACUUUUCUCAUGAAAUCAAUGUUAGUAAUAAACCUCUAUGUGCUUCUCUGCUUUAUUUUCUCUUUGUCAAAGAAUAUACACCCAUAACAUAACUUAGAAAAGUAAGCUCUGUUUUUCUUUUUCUCUCCCCUGUGUUUUGAAACACUGUAACAGAGAACAAAAUGGAGAAUGAAUCAGUGGUGAUAGAAGGAAGAGGAAUCCCAUUGUACGGUGGGAGAUACUUGCAGUAUAACAUACUGGGUAACCUUUUUGAGGUCUCCUCUAAGUAUGUUCCUCCUAUACAACCCGUCGGCCGCGGCGCAUACGGUAUCGUUUGGUAAUUAUCUGUUGCUUUAAACCUCAAGAAUUCUAAUUCUGUAUUCUGAUAACAAAUGGGUUUUCUUCAUUUUUAUCUAUUUAUUUGGAAUUUGAAAGUAAUUAUUCUUGCUGUUUGGUUACCUCAAUAUAAGAGUAAGGAUCUGAGCUUUGCUGGUGGAAAAGAAAUUUUGGGGAAUUAAUUUUUAUGUGCAAUAUUUGAUUUUGAUUUUUGACUUUAAAAUUUUCAUUUAAAAUAAAACUAUUCUAUGAAAUUAUUGUUUUACUGGGCUCAAAAGGCUAUUAGUAGAUUAUCUGUCCUGUAAUGCAGAAUUUUUAGUUGCAUAUAAUUGUUUCUCUAUAUAGUGAUCCUUGUUGAUAUUUGUGGUUGAUGACUUGAUGCUUAUGAAUUACACACAAUUUCUUUGUUGCAGUUGUGCUAGAAAUGCUGAGACAAAAGAACAAGUUGCUAUUAAGAAGAUUGGGAAUGCAUUUGAAAAUAGAAUUGAUGCCAAAAGAACACUUAGAGAGAUCAAACUCCUAUGCCAUAUGGAUCAUGAAAAUGUACUCUCUUUUUUGCAAUUUAUUUAUUGAUAUUACUAUAAGUGUUUGUGCAUAUCAUUCUAGUAAUUGUGACUAUGACAAGUUCUGCUAAUAAUGGCAAAAUCUUGAAGUAUUGAUGACUAUAUUGCACUUGGUAUUGUGUAGAUUAUCAAAAUUAAAGACAUAAUGACACCACCGGAGAGGGAAAAUUUCAACGAUGUGUAUAUUGUCUAUGAAUUGAUGGAUACUGAUCUCCAUCAGAUAAUACGCUCUAGCCAGGCAUUGACUGAUGAUCACUGUCAGGUAAGACAACUGGAUCCAUUUUCCCUUGUGCAAACUUCUUCUUACUAUAUCUGACUGAAUGGUUUGACUUCAGUAUUUGUGCCCUAAAAUAAGAAACUUUAAUUAGGUAAAAUUGGAAUUUUGAUAUGUUAUCACCUUAUUUUGUUGGGAUAUGUUGGGAGGCUGAACAGAUCACAGUCCUCAUCAUUUGAACUGUGCAACAUGUCUGUGUGUGUGUGUGUGUAUAUAUAUAUAUAUAUAUAUAUAUAUAUAUAUAACCAUUAGAGGUGAAAUUAGUCUUAUAAUUUUUGUUUACAGGUAGAAGGCACUUGAUGCACUGGUAGGGAAAAAUAUAUGAAAGCAUUAAUGUAGUUGUUGGUAAAAAAUUGAAUUAAGCUGCAACUUAAGUACCUACAAUGUUAAAGAGAUUUUUUUUGGCAUUGGCAGUAUUUCUUGUAUCAAUUGUUGCGAGGACUGAAAUACAUACAUUCUGCAAAUGUUUUACACCGAGAUUUGAAACCGAGCAACUUGCUCCUCAAUGCAAAUUGUGAUCUUAAGAUAUGUGACUUCGGGCUUGCAAGAACCACCUCAGAGACUGAUUUCAUGACUGAAUAUGUAGUAACUCGAUGGUAUCGAGCACCAGAAUUGCUGCUCAACUGUUCAGAGUAUACUGCAUCUAUUGAUAUUUGGUCAGUUGGUUGUAUUUUCAUGGAAAUUCUUAGAAGGGAGCCUCUUUUCCCGGGUAAAGACUAUGUCCAGCAGUUGGGGCUUAUAACUGAGGUAGGUAUUGUUUGAAGGAAUGUGACUAAAAGUUACAAUUUUUUAUUAAACCUCAAAUUUCUCUGAUGCUAAUGAAUUAGUCUUUAUACUUUUCUUGAUUAUUCCCAAAAUAGUUGCUAGGUUCACCAGAUGAUUCAGAUCUUGGAUUCCUUAGAAGUGAUAAUGCACGGAGGUAUGUGAAGCAGCUUCCACAUUUCCCUAAGCAACCUUUUUCACAAAAGUUCCCAGAUGUGUCUCCAGUUGCUCUUGAUCUUGCAGAGAGAAUGCUAGUGUUUGAUCCAUGCAAACGCAUAACUGGUAUGUAUGACCUUUGCAUAAUAAAAAGUUUACUCUUCUGUUUUUCUCAUCCAUUUCGCUGAUUAGAAGCAUCACUUUUUUUUUUCCCUUUUUUGGUGUUUAUGAAGUUGAGGAGGCACUGAAUCAUCCAUUUUUGUCAAGUCUACACGAGAUCAACGAAGAGCCCACUUGUCCAUCUCCUUUUAUUUUCGAUUUCGAGCAAAUUUCCUUAAAUGAAGAAGAUAUAAAAGGGCUCAUAUGGGCAGAGUCUUUGAACUUCAAUACAGAUGUUAUGCUUGAGUAAUCUUACCAACAUUUUUAAUCUUUACUUCGUGUCUAUUAUUUGGUUGGUUAGCUUCCUGAUCAGAACAUUGAUUUCUGAUCACUUGUGAUUUAUGUGAGAAAAAAUUCUCUCUAAAGAGAGAAAUCUAGGAGAUGGGUUCUCCUUCCUAUAUUGUGAGAGUGGAGUCUGUUUGUCUAUUGGUUUAAUAUUGAAGGUUGCUGGAUUCAUUCUGUUCAAGGACCCAGUACUAAACAAUGUUGGUUUGCAUAAAAAGAAGGCUACAUUCUCCUAGCCUGUGCUGUGCAUGUUUUGUGGUUAUGGUUAUGUAUAUUGUAUACUAUAAUCAAUCAAAUACAAAGGAAAAACCAAAUUGAAAAGAAAGUGAGUGCUUUUUAUGUGCCUUUAUAGGUCUGAAGUUUUUGGUAUAUCGAUAGGCUUGAUAGUUGCUUCUAUGUCCAGUUAUGGCAGAAUGUUCAAAUUGGUACAUACACUUCAACAAAAACUGCUCUGUUUGAUCCUUUUUCGAUUGCAGCAAAAUGUAGGCUAAACGUUUUUAGUUUAAUAGCAUUCCAUUCUUUGUUUUUUAUAUUGUUACAGCAUAUUCACUAAUGUUAAAUAAUCUACAACACUUACAAAACCUUGAUUAUUAUAAAAUCAAGUGCUAAACAAGUUCAUUAACAGCCUUACCUACGCCUUAUUUUGGGGAGUUCAUUUUAUGCAUCAAACCAAUUCGAAAAAAUGGUGAUAAUCUUUUUAAACGACAAUUGAUUAUCGUCUUGAUAUGUAAGUAAACCCAUACAGCAGAGUAAGCAAAUUUUAUUUCAAAAAAUUAUUUAAUUUGUCAUUUUUAGAAGUAUAAAAUGGAUUUAAUGGUAAUAAUUUUUUAAACAGCAAUUGAUUAACCACUAAGUUUUAUUUCUGAAAGUUAUUUAAUUUGUGAUUUUUAGAAGUAUAAUAUAAAUAGCAUAAAAUUAAAGAUAAACAUUUGAAAUUAAUAUACCAAAAUAAAAUGCUACCAACAUGUGGAAAAGCCUAUAUAACCCAAAAAUUAAAUGGAUGACGUGGCCCUUCAUUGGUUACAAACUUACAAUUACUUCCAGCAUUUCGGGAUUAGACAAAAAAAUUCCACGCAGCAUUUUUAUUUUUAUUUUUCAAAAAUUACACUUCCAUAGCUUUUUGCAUUUUCAUGUCAGUCGCGGAGGAAGGACAAGAUCAGUUACAGACUUACAGUUAGGAGCAAGGGCCUACAUAGAGAAUGAGACUUCCAGUCAUAGGGAAGGCUCUACAGAGCCGAAGAAGAAAUCAUCUUUCGCUGUCGCCGCCGCUACUCUUCACCGCACUUGCACGCUCGUUCUCGCAACUUCUCUCACAUUGUGACCGGUUCUUUUCUUUACUCAACAUCUCUGGGUUUUCUCUUCUCCCUCUCUCUCUCUCUCUCUCUCUCUCUUCACAUAUAUGCUAUUGUAAUUCAUUGAUUCGAUUUUUGUUUUAAAAUGAAUUGAUAGACCUACUUUUGGCAUUGCGUUUGAUAUCGAUGGCGUCAUUCUUCGAGGGGAAUCUCCCAUUGGCGGCUCUCCUCAAGCUCUCAAACGAUUAUACGAUCCCUCUGGUACAGUAGAUGAUACGCAUUUAAUCUGCAAUUGUGGCGCUUUUUAUAUAGGUUUAUUUUUUGAUCAGUUAUGCAAAAUUGUUGUUACUUUGCUCAGCCUUUUAUUAUUAUUAUUAUUAUUUCCUUUGUUUGUUUUCCCUUUCUUCUAUAACUGUCUUUGUUUAUUUUGUGGACAGGUGCUUUGAAAAUUCCUUACAUUUUCUUGACGAAUGGUGAGUUUUCUGUUGACAUUAACAGUCCUUCAACGCUGUUGUUAGCAUAUGGCAUUUGUUGUUUUUGAAUGAUGUGUUACUAGAGGUUAUAGCAAAUUUGGAUCUUAGAAUCAGGCGUUUAUUUAAAUAGUGGAAUGUGUUGUUGUAUGAGCAGCAAUUAGCGUCUUUUAUCGGUUAUUAUUGCUUCAAUUUUGACAGGAGGUGGUUUUCCUGAAUCUAAAAGAGCCUUGGAGUUGAGCAAACUUCUAGGUUUGGAUAUUUCACCUUUGCAGGUACUUCUGCAAAGAUUAUUUAAAAAAAAAUUUUUUUUUUUUUUUUUUUCAUCUUUAGCAUCGUUCUUGAUAGUUUUAGGUUUUGCUGGUCAUGAUGGAGCUCUGAUUUUAUGGUAGGUUGUACAGGGCCAUACACCUUUUAAGCAACUGGUGAAAAGGUAUGCAUUUAAAAUAAGUCUGGAUGUCAAGUUGUUAGACAAGUACAGUUCUAUGCUAACAAAGAAUGUAACAGUGUCAAGUAUAGUGACAAUUAUUCUCAUAUUAUUAUUAUUAAAUAAAAAAAAUGAGAAGAAAUUGCUUGAAUGCCUGGCUAACAGCUUAUUUCUUCAUAGAACUAGAGGACAUCUUUUACAUGUUUCCAUGAGAGAAAGAAUGUUGGUUUAUACUGUAAUAAACAGUAUGCCUCCAAGCUUCUAUGAAUUCACCAUCCUUGGCUAAAGCUUCAUAUCCGUUUUUACCGCUUGACCUGCAUAUCUGGGCCAAGGUAUUUGAUAGUAUUUGCAUUUUACAAUUUUACACUUGAAGAAGCUCCUUAGUUGCUGUGGUACACCGACUGAAUGGAAAAUGCUAGAUUAUCAUGUUUCAUACCAAUUAGUUGUGUGGAUAAGUGAUUGUCUAUCAGUAAUCAACAUGCAUAAUAACUGGCAUGAGUAAAAGUGUGUGAAUUGGAGUGCUCAUGCCACAUCUUUCUGAGUAGGAUUUUCAUUGUUUUUAUGUAUUUAUUCAUAAUAAAAGUUGUGCAUUAUUGCAGAUUUGAGAAUGAACUUAUUGUUGCGGUGGGAAAAGGAGAGCCUGCUCAAGUAAUGUCUGAAUAUGGAUUCAAGUAAGCUUUUUUGAGACAUCUGAUUUGCUUUUGACGAAAUUCAUCAGAAAUCUGCAAUUUGUCCUGAGUUUAAGCUCUUAAAUUGCUGUUCUGCUUAUUAAUCUUAUAUGCAGAAAUGUUCUCUCAAUAGAUGAGUAUGCAUCUUAUUUUGAUGGCAUUGAUCCGCUUGCUCAAUAUAAGACAUGGACAAGAAAGCAGGAUGCUAAAUGCAGUAGUGCUUCAAAGCAGAUAACUACAAGGGACAGUGUCCACUCACAAAGAGUUCAAGCAGCAUUUAUUGUUAGUGAUUCUGUUGAUUGGAGCAGGGACAUUCAGGUUUCACGAAAUCUAUGGCUUAUCUGAUAAUUUAUGAAUUUAUUUCGUGAAGAGUUAGGAUUUUUUUUUUUUUUCCGGUCGAUAGCUGGUCAACUCUUGCAAGGUACAUUGAGUUUUUUCCCCUUCAGAACAUCCUUGGGAUGAGUGAUUAAAAUCCAAAAUUUGACUUUCUUUGCAUCAUGGUGUCACAGUUGUGUUAAUAAUACUACGGUGAUAUACAUUUUCUGAAAGAAACUAAUCAGUAUGUUAGAGGCCUGAAUCAGGGUUUUAAAUGUCAACCAAUUCAUAUUAUAUUAUGACAAAGGCAUGUAAUUGCAUGCAUAUUGGUUCACAUUGGCUCAUGUGGAAUAACUUUGCAGCAUUAGCAUUGGCUGAUUAGGAUUGUUAUGCUGCCAGUUCCAGUCAUUUUGCUAAACUAUUUUAACAAGAGCUGCUCAACUAUGAAAGCCACAGCCCUACAUUUUUUGAAGCAACAUUUGAUAUCAUGACACUGUUGAAAAUUUUUAGCAUACAACUCGCUCUGAGUAGAAUAAGAUGCACAGAGAGAGAGAAAAGCAAGAGGAAUUUGAAGUGAUUCAGCAAUCUGUGAUUUCUUUUUUAACUGUGGAAGUGAAUGUAACAAGUACCUAUGUAUAUGAUACUGGAAAUUUCCUUUUUACAAGAAGCAAUAGGGGAGACUCAGAAUUGUAAUAUGAGAAACUCACCAUUGCAAAAAUAAACCGCAUCACCUGAACCUCCCUAGGCUAACUUAACUAUACUCCUAAAAUGCAAUAUCUUUGAAUAUGUGCUGCAAACUCAGUAGAACUCUAACCUUGAAUGCUACUACAAUUUAAAAGCACAUCAUAGCCUUACUGAGCCAAUAUUACUGCUUUGAGCUUACAUAUCUUGGUGUUCCAGAGAGAUGAUUCAAUACUGGCUACUCUUCCAGGGAAAUUACAAUUGUCUGGCUUGUCUGUUUUCUAUAGAUAUAGAAUCGGGGGGUAGUUGUUUGUUUCUGCUAUACUAAUUUGGUGAAUAGAUGACUUCAGUUCAGUUUUCGUUGAUAGACUAUCAUCAUCUUUAUUAACUGAAAUUAACCAUUUGAAGGCGCUUUUAAAGUUGCUUCCUCUGUUAUUGUUUUCAAUCCAUUUUUGAGCCUUAAAUAUGUUAUGCAUGAAUUAUUUGUCAUUUCUAUACUUGCAUUCUGGUCCUUUUAGAAUUUCUUAAACCAGAUAUUAUCAUUGUCUAAUUCUUAAAGGUGCGAACCUGAAUUGAUUUAUUGUGGAUAUUGGUGUUAGGUUCUGUGUGACAUUUUAAGAACUGGAGGUCUUCCUGGAAGGGAGAUUGGACACCAGCCACAUCUAUAUUUUGCAAAUGAUGACCUUGCAUACCAGGUUGAUCGCUAUUUUUGGUCCAUUUUAUUCCUCUUCUCUUUUGUAAUCGAGUAGUUCUUGAAGUACUAAUGUACUGAUGAGGUGCCACUAAAGGUAGGCUACUUUUCCUUCAGAACGCCUUGGUAUGGGAGCUUUCAGAAUUGCAUUAGAAUCCAUCUUCAACAGGUAAGGCAAAGUGCAGAUAAAAUCUAUUUUGGAUUGAAGCAAUAUGAGAAUGCCAUUACACAUGUCACCUUGUCCAACGUAAAGAGAAGGCUAUGUUUAUUAUUUCUUUCCUUUCUUCCCUUUGUUCUAUUGGGUUGUGACCGUACAUCUCAACUGACUUAUACUGUAGUCUAUUUUUCAUAGGAGUCAUUUGCUUGGACAAGAUUAGUGGAAACUAUAGUCUAAUAUUUUAUACUGCACUAAAUCCAAAAUUAGUUGUGAUGUCAUGAACUUUCUUGAUGACAACAUUUUCAAAUACGCAGAAUUCACACUAAUGCUCUGGAGUAUACAUCUUUUGGAAAGCCAAAUCCAUUUGUAUUCAAGAAUGCUGAAACUGUCCUAAAGCAACUUGUUCCAUCUCUUCAUCAUAGCACUAAUCCUGUGGAUCAUGUGAAUGCUGAGCGAACUCAUCAUUUCAAUACAUUAUAUAUGAUAGGAGAUAAUCCUUCGGUUGACAUUAGAGGUGCACGGCAGGUUUGUCUCUGAGACUAGGAAUUUAGUUCCAUAUACUUAUUAUUUUUUAUAGUGAUCAUAACGUAUGGGUAUGGCCUUAUUCUUCUUCUGGCAUUUCAGGCUGGAAAGCCCUGGUUUUCUAUCUUGACAAGGACGGGAGUUUUCAGGGGAACAGAAAACGAUUCCAAGUUUCCAGCAGAUCUGGUAGGCAAUUGAGAAAGUUGAAGCAGUUGCAUUACAAUCUUUUCAUAAUUCUAUAAUUUAAUCUAUGGUUCCCAUUAAUUUAAUCUUUCCUCUUGAAAAAAAUAAAAUACUGGCCACUGUUGUACUGAGCUACAUGCCCUUUGCUUUGCUUCGCUUCUUUGCAGGUUGUUAACACUGUGGAAGAUGCUGUGGACUAUAUUUUGAGAAGGGAGUGUAACUAAGUCUUCUUUGUGUUUCGGAACUCAGUUAUUCAUUACCGAAGAGAAGAGAGAUUGGAGGGUAAACGGUGUGGUAAUGAGAUCUUAUAAGUGCAACACUGAAACAUUCUUUGGCAUUAUGGUUGAAAUUUUUUUCUGAAACAACACUAUUUUAGGUGCUAUUAAGAAAAUUAGUUUUGGAGUGAUGUUUAGUUGUUUUGUAGCUUUUAUAAUAGUAAUGUAGUAGUAUAUGUGGAAUUCAGCUUUGAAACAAACUUAAUUGCCUUUUACCCAUGUUUUGAAUUUUUUUUUUCCCCCAAUAACAUUUCAAACGAAAAUGCCAAACACUCCCUUAAGAGUGGCCAAAGUUCAAAUAAACAAUUAGCAAAACGACAUCAAAUUAUUGAUUCUUAGGCAUAAAGAAUUUCGGUCGUUUAAUUGAACUUUUGUCAAUUGUGAGCAUAUACGUUUGCUUGAUGCCAUCAAAUCAAGAUUAGGAUAGAGAAGUGAGGGAGACAGGCAGUGAAGGGCAAAAAUGCAAAUGAAGAGGAGAAGACAAUAGUGACAUUGUGAUUAGUUCACAGUUCACACCACAUUCUUACACAAUAGCUCUAAAUCAUUUUAUUUAAUUUCCACAUGGUUUUCUAACAUUCAAAGCUUGCUUUUACAAACUUACCAGUCUGUCUACAAAAACCUUGAGCACAAGGAUUUAAACAAUAAAAUUCCAGAAUCUGAGUGAGAAUACUUCUGGUAACUCAGUCUGUCUAUUAAACUGCUCAAACAGUGCAAAACAUAAAAAAUGUUCCAGAACUAAUGCAAUGCAAUAAAAAGAACAGAGCAAGAAGACCUGAGCAAACUCUCCCAAGUCGUUGAGAUUUAGAAUUUUAAAACUUGUUUAGGUUGACUCCCUAAUUUCCCAAGUGCCUUGUCCAAAGCUGUGUGAAAAUUGUCAAAAGGUACCAGCUCCAUUCUGCAAAGGCAGUUAUGUCAACUAAUGAAAUAUGAAAAAUCAAUACUACAAAACAAAGUAAUGUUAUAGAGAAUGAAAGAACGCGUGCAAGUGAAUUUGCACGUGGGAGGACAUACUCGUAUUUCAACUUCCCUUCUUGUGCAAGGGAAAGAAGAUAAUCUAUCAUAUUUCUGCAUUCUUUUGCUUUUUCUGAAGUCAACCAUUUUUGCAACCAGAACCCCCUCAGGGUAAGAUCCUGUAAACAAAUAAACAUGGACACAAGCAAGAACUUAUACACACACUUGCUGUUUCUGAAUUUGAAAGGAAUUGAAAUUAAAGAGUGCAGAUUGAGGCACAAAAUGACUCAGCAAUUCAAACCCAAUGCUCAUAUCUCCUUUCCUCCCAGAGGUAAAGAAGAUUGAGAUCAUGUGAUUUCAACUGGGCUCAGUUCCAUCUUACGGAGAGAGUUAAGCUCUGUUUUGUACAAAUGAAUUCUUGUGACAUUUGAUAUAAAAAAAAUAUUCAUUUCACUCUGAUAAAUUCAUUAUUAUAAAUUUCCAAAAGACCAUACCAAAUUCAAUCAUUUAUAUAUGAAUUCCAUAUUUCGAUUAAUUUAUUCCAAACAAGGAUCAGUUAGAUCACGCAGAUCAUCCUCCUGCAGAAAUUUUAUUUGUUCAAAAAGGAUACUCAUGUAGAAACCCCAUAUCCUGCUAUGCAAAAGUUCAUAUCCAUUAUGUUGGCACCUUCUUUUCCAAUUUCUAUCGAGUUUAUGUGUGAUUAAGGAAAAAGAACUCAACACCAAGCUGUCAUUUUCAACCGAUUUCUUAACUGGUACUUCUUUGUUUUACUGGUUUGCAUUAAAGAUCAAACAUCUUAAAUAGAUGAUGCAUUAAGUUUAUAUAGGCGCCAUGCCUUCAUUACAGAUAACAACCAUUAGAUCAGUGCACUGCAACAACAAGAUGAACAAAAAAUAAAACAAUGUUUACCUUAAAAAUGAAGGAGGAUGUUGAUACAGUUACAGGUUUCUUAGACAUUCCCCCAUAAGUUACCAUUGUUCCUCCUUGCCUGAAUAUGAGAGCACAUUAGCAGGCUAGGACAUAUUGCAUCUUUAACUAAAAGGAAUGUUUAAAUUUCUAGUGUAUUUAUCACUGGAUGUCACACCUUAAGAAUUUGAGAACCAAAGAAGCAGCAUUGCCACCAACACAGUUGAAUCCCAAAGCAGGUUCUGGUAAAUUAGUCUAGCAUAUGCCAAUGCAAUGAAGACCGGUAAAGUUCAGUACCAAUUGCUCAAAAUCUAAGAAUAAAUCAUAUUCUGGAAUUUGAAUUUUAAGGAUGCCAAACACAUACGAGAAAAGAAUAAACACCUCCUAAUUCAGAUAACAUCAUAUAUUCAAACAUAAGGAGUCCAUAGCUCAUGAUACCAGGAGACCCUUGACAUUCUUCACUUCCAAUUGGCUCUCAGUAAACACUUCAUCAGCACCUAGUUUCUUUAAAGUUUCCUUUGCUUCAUCUGAACCAGGCCUAAAUUAAGCAAAAGACAGUAAGGAAAAAGUGUGCUGGCAGCCAUUUAUUAUUUUAAAAAAAUAAAUAAAUCGAAAGUGGCUUGCAUUGCUAACAGCAAAACAUAUGUUCUCAAAAAACACAACUCAAGAGAUGAUAUUGGAUAAUUAAAAUAAGCCUUCCAUGUCGGAUCAUCAAUGUUAGAAAUUUGUCUUAAGCUUAAUCACAUAGAGUAUCUCCCUCAAUUUAUUUAUUACAACUGUUUCCACUUCAUUAUAUGUCGAUACAUAAAUCACCAUGAUGAGGCAAUUAUGCUUUUCCACUAUCAGUCUUGAAUCUUUCUUUAUCCAUUUAUUUCUUUUAUGAUUGUCAAGGCUCCAAUAGACGUCAUUGGAAAUGUGAUGAGGCACAAGCAACUUUGAUCUUCCAUCAACAACUUAGAGUCUCAGAAGGUAGAAAAGGAAAACCUCUAUGAGGGUGCCCAUGAACUCUAAAGUUAGCAAUAUAACUUGAAAAAGAUUGCUGGCUAAAUUAAUCAAAAUUGAUAUACAGUAGAGCAUUAUAAAGGCUCAAUAUAAGAAGAUAAAAACUUAAAAGCAUGAUUGAAAAAGGAUCCCAACUCCCAAAAUAUAUGAUAAUAGUAGAUCUCCAAAAAUAAUAAUAAUAAUAAUAAUAAUAAUAAUAAUAAUAAUAAUAAUAAUAAUAAUAAUAAUAAUAAUAAUAAUAAUAAUAAUAAUAAUAAUAAUAAUAAUAAUAAUAAUAAUAAUAAUAAUAAUAAUAAUAAUAAUAAUAAUAAUAAUAAUAAUAAUAAUAAUAAUAAUAAUAAUAAUAAUAAUAAUAAUAAUAAUAAUAAUAAAGUGACCAAGUGCUUUUUGACAAUUGUGUAAAAAAAAAUUACACUAUAUUAGUAAGGCAAGAAGGCGAAUAUUCAAGCAAAUAAAAGGAUAGACUGGAUGAAGAUGAAUAUGUUUAUAGGAAUGUGGAAGUGCUGCCUAACACCUAUUGAGAAAAAAUUCAGAGAAAUAAGAUUGAAAAGAAGAUAUGCACAGUAGACCCAACAAAUGCACCAACAUGAGAGUUGGGCUCAUUGAAGUUGUCACAAACCUUUUCAAAUGUAGCAUCGAACGAGGCGGAAUAAAAAGAAAAAGAAAGAAUAGAAACUGAUUUUGGAUUAGGAUUAGUUAAGUUGAGUAGAUUAGAGUAAUCUCUUGAAGCAACUUCGGCCUUUUAAUAAGCUCACAAAAUUAGCCAGCAACUUAAUAUGAAAACACAAAUAUUCAAUUUAAGCGAGCUAGACUACAAUAUUUCACUUCAAGCUGAGAAUUUUGGGAAGCCUAAAUAAAUGAAGAGCAAAGCAGACAUGCAUCAACAAUUGAAGACAGUGAGAGAAAUUGAAAUCGGAAGUUAUAUGAAUUAAUUGAAAGUUUCAAACAGCACCUGUCCCUUAAUAUAUUAAUGCUACGGAUGCCGCGAAAUUUUGCAAUCUGAAUGACACACUGCCCAACAAUACUUGUAGCCCCAUUUUGCACUACAGAAUCUCCUGCUUGUAUGUACCUUUAUCAGAUAAAAGAAAAAAAAUUGAAAAAUAGAGGACAUCAGAAUUUAAUAAGGCAGUACCUGAAUUUAGAGAUGUGAAGUCUUCAAGCAUUCUUAAAGCAGUUAAAGGAUUAACAGUGACUGUUGCAGCAUAUUCCAUGGGAGACUCUUUAUUGAUUUUGUGCCAGACACUCUGAUCUUGUACAAUGUAAGUCUGCCACGUCCCUAAUGCAAUAAAGAUUUACAAUUACUAUCGUCUAGUAAAAUCAAGCGAAGAAAAAAAAAAGAGGGAGUUCCAGUUCAAAUUCCCAUCAGCAAAUGACGUUCAAUGUUUGGCCAAAAAAAUGCGUUUCGCCUAUAAUUACCUAUCUAAAAAAUGUCAUCAAACAUGCAAAAUAAAUAUAGUAUUAAUAACAUCUGUCUGUUCCUCAGUUGCAAAGAGGAUAUACAAUUUCCUGGACUUAGUUUACUAUUAAGUUAUCGUAAUUUGACAUUCAAGUCAAGCAGCAAUACCGUGUAAAAACUAAAGAGAAAUAGCAAAAGAACUUAAAUAUUAAGAAAGCUUAACAUUGCAACAACAAUGACCAAAAAUUAAAAUUGCAGCCAUCAAAGUAAUCAAAAAGGCACGCACCAAAAGAGGGUGGAGAUGGAAUGACCCAAUCACCAGGUGACAGAUCCUUAACUGCAGAGCCUACAGAAUGCACUUCUCCUACACCCUCAUAUCCUCCAACUGCAGGAACUGACGGCCUCACAGGGUAAACUCCUACGAGGACUCAAAAACAACAUUACCCGAUUGACUUCAAAGCAAAGGAACAUAAACUCGCCUCAAACCGAUUACUAAUUUUUCAAAAUUAAGCUAGAAAGUAAGAAACUUUACCUUCAAUUCGAUUGAUAUCAGACGGAUUAAUCGGAGAAGCCAACAUUUUAACGCACACAUCGUUAGCUUUUACUUCCACCGGUGGUACCUCUACCACUCUGUACCAAAUACCCACUAAUAAAAAUAAACAUAAUUUGAUGGAAAUAUAUAAUAGGUGCAUGUGUAUAUACGUAUGAGUGGGUUGGUACCUGGUGACGGAGUCAGGAGGGCCCUGCUGGUCGUAGACGACGGCCUUGGAUGGCGGAGACAUGAAGGCGGAGAAUGUCCUGACUAUUUGAGCUUGGGCACGAGGAAUAUGGCCCCACUUGAGAUUGAAGAGAAGGGAUGAGAAUGGUUCAUUGAGAACUUUCAUGGCUGUUGACCUCAUCAUCAUCAUCGACGCCAUUUCUGUAUCUUUACUCUGUCUGGCAGCCCCUACUCGAAAGUAGAAGGAGGUUUGUCGAAUGGCCUCAGCAUUGAUUGCUUUUUCAACGGUGUUGUAUAAAGUUUUGGUCUUUUUAUUUAUUUAUUUAUUUCCCUCUUGUUGUUGGAACGUUGUCGUUUAUUGUAAGUGCCAAGCUCUAAUGGAAAUAAUAGGAACUCCACACUUGAUAGAGAGACAUGAUAAAUUCUCAACCAUGACUUGAGGAACAAAAACAUAAAAAUAAAAAAACACAAAUCAUUUUCCGGAAACAAAUUCGGCCUUAAAAAAAUUAACUGAAAGUAUGUUUAUUUAUUUUUAAAAAAUUUACCUUUUAAGUUAUAAUUUUUUGUUAUUCCAUAAAACAAUAAUAAUCAAGAUUGACGUAGACUAACGAGUGAUAUUGUCGUAUUUUAUUAUAAAAGAAAGGUUUAAUCAUUAAUUUUACCCUGAACUUUUCGAUUAGUUGCACUUUUAUCCUUAAUCGAUCUUUGUAUUAUAGGCAUUUUAAACUUAUCAACUUAAUUGCAAUUAUACCUAAUUUGCUUUUAGGAUGCAGUUACACUCUAAAAA
Molecule: long non-coding RNA, 34440 nt
Filed under: Jatropha curcas
Lineage: Eukaryota; Viridiplantae; Streptophyta; Magnoliopsida; Malpighiales; Euphorbiaceae
Description: long non-coding RNA (JCUR_LNC000477)
Source: RNAcentral